Molecule: ribosomal RNA, 444 nt
Filed under: uncultured Rhodoplanes sp.
Lineage: Bacteria; Pseudomonadati; Pseudomonadota; Alphaproteobacteria; Hyphomicrobiales; Nitrobacteraceae
Description: bacterial SSU rRNA
Rfam family: Bacterial small subunit ribosomal RNA
Source: RNAcentral
UGCCUACGGGUGGCUGCAGUGGGGAAUAUUGGACAAUGGGCGCAAGCCUGAUCCAGCCAUGCCGCGUGGGUGAUGAAGGCCCUAGGGUUGUAAAGCCCUUUCGGCGGGGAAGAUAAUGACGGUACCCGCAGAAGAAGCCCCGGCUAACUUCGUGCCAGCAGCCGCGGUAAUACGAAGGGGGCUAGCGUUGCUCGGAAUCACUGGGCGUAAAGCGCACGUAGGCGGCUUUUUAAGUCAGGGGUGAAAUCCUGGAGCUCAACUCCAGAACUGCCCUUGAUACUGAGGAGCUCGAGUCCGGGAGAGGUGAGUGGAACUGCGAGUGUAGAGGUGAAAUUCGUAGAUAUUCGCAAGAACACCAGUGGCGAAGGCGGCUCACUGGCCCGGUACUGACGCUGAGGUGCGAAAGCGUGGGGAGCAAACGGGAUUAGAUACCCGGGUAGUCCC